CUGGGUAGCCUACCAGACGAAUUUAGCCCUGCCCACAACAUUUGAGGUCGGGAAGUCUGACUAGAAUUAUGAGUAGGACAACGUCAGGCUACCAAACGGGAACCUUUUCUUAAAAAUGAAACGAAGCUUCUCGAUAGCAAUUCGCUCGUCCUUGUCACAAUCGCCUGCCUAGAUGAAAGUAAAACAGAACUUCGCUUAGCUGCAUGUAUCAGUUACGCUCGACACCGAGGUCGUUCAAGUGCUUCAAGUUUUAUUUAAGCUUCCAAGCCUCGGUUUCAAGGGGAUAAUUACUACCUGUCAUAGGUUUUACCUUCAUUUUUUUUAUCAUGGGAAUAUUCUGUGUGUUCAUUGUCGUUGACAAUGUUAAGCCAUUCUCGCUCUUCGAGUCAGGAGAAGACGUUUUAUCCGCGUUGGAGGUGUCUGACUUAAACAUAAAGCAGAGAAAAAUAGAUCAUUAUUCUUCACAACCCUUUCUGAAGCCGACCAUGUCUUUAUUUGAAGUUAUUGUCUGUAAACUUCGGAAAUUCACGUUAUUUAGAAGACUCCGGACAGAAGUCUGCUCAUCCCAACAGAACAAUGUUAGUGAUAAAGGAGCUGUCAAAGAGGUUGCCUUACAACUGAACAGAACUCUAAAGGGUCAGGCAGUGUCUCUGUUACCCAGCAUCCUUAGCGAUCAUUGGAGUAUUGAUGACUGUCGAGAUGCUAUCCUAAGAUGGGCAGACGAAUUGCAACACCUACAGUUAAAGGCAGAGCAGACGCAGGCUGAACCCAACACUUCUUCCAGUACAGCUGCGGAGAGAAGGAUGGUCUCGGCGAGUUCGAGCCCAAACGACCGUGAGGAGGAGAGACUUCGGGAGGCCCAGCUGACCUUAAAACAGUGGGCUAACAGCCUGAAAGCACUUCCUGAGGGUUCUGUGAGUUUGGGGACGGAUGUGGGGGGUGUACUGGAGGAUCUGGACAAGCAAUGGAGGAGGGGGCAGCUGCCCAACAUGCUCCCAGCCCUGGAGGUCAUCGUGAGGAGCGUGAUGCAGAGUCAACAAAGACCAGAGGUUCCCCAGCUGCAAUUACUUACCGCAGACAACACAUGAAACACAUUCAACACCCACCAGACUAGUCUCAUCUGUCAUUACUUACAGCAGACAACACAUGAAACACAUUCAACACCCACCAGACUAGUCUCAGCUGUCAUUACUCUGCUACUGCAAACAACAAAACGAUACGUCUCACUGCUUUUCGUCCAGUCAAGGAACAGAUCAGUUAACACAUAGAUCUGAUUAAACAUGUUACUCAUAUGGAGGUGUUCCAGUUCAGAGAAUGCUGACUGAAAUGGAAACUCCUAACACUGGCAUGUUCCAGGAGCUGCUAUAAAUACCCAGCUCAUGAUUCACCAGAUUUCCAAGAAGUGUUCCUUCCCAACACUGAGUCAUAUUGGAUAUAUUAAAUCACUGAGUAAAGAAUGUUUGACUGAGUGAGCUGUAAGGUCAUUGUCUUGAUGUCUGACUGAGUGAGCUGUAAGGUAAUAUGACUGACUGAGUGAGCUGUAAGGUCACUGUCUUGUUCGUGUUUACAGGUUGUCAUCCCUAUGAAGUGGAUCUGUAAACCGAGAAAAAGCUACUCUGGCUGGGGUAACACUGGCUGGAGGCCUUCUUCGCACUCAAGGUUUCUUACAACGUGCAGCUGACUUUCUUUUUCUGUUCCUGAGUUCUUAUGAAUACAACAU
Molecule: long non-coding RNA, 1720 nt
Organism: Clupea harengus (Atlantic herring)
Lineage: Eukaryota; Metazoa; Chordata; Actinopteri; Clupeiformes; Clupeidae
Source: Ensembl